This 492-nucleotide ribosomal RNA is filed under the name uncultured bacterium. RNAcentral's name for it is "partial 16S ribosomal RNA". It matches the Rfam family "Bacterial small subunit ribosomal RNA", at positions 29 to 507 of the family's 1533-position model. The record is from RNAcentral.
AGUGAACGCUGGCGGUAGGCCUAACACAUGCAAGUCGAACGACAGCACAGUAAGAGCUUGCUCUUACGGGUGGCGAGUGGCGGACGGGUGAGGAAUACAUCGGAAUCUACUUUUUCGUGGGGGAUAACGUAGGGAAACUUACGCUAAUACCGCAUACGACCUACGGGUGAAAGUAGGGGAUCUUCGGACCUUGCGCGAUUGAAUGAGCCGAUGUCGGAUUAGCUAGUUGGCGGGGUAAAGGCCCACCAAGGCGACGAUCCGUAGCUGGUCUGAGAGGAUGAUCAGCCACACUGGAACUGAGACACGGUCCAGACUCCUACGGGAGGCAGCAGUGGGGAAUAUUGGACAAUGGGCGCAAGCCUGAUCCAGCCAUACCGCGUGGGUGAAGAAGGCCUUCGGGUUGUAAAGCCCUUUUGUUGGGAAAGAAAAGCAGCAGGUUAAUACCCCGCUGUUCUGACGGUACCCAAAGAAUAAGCACCGGCUAACUUCGUG